This 574-nucleotide ribosomal RNA is filed under the name uncultured bacterium. RNAcentral describes it as "partial 16S ribosomal RNA". It matches the Rfam family "Bacterial small subunit ribosomal RNA", at positions 355 to 918 of the family's 1533-position model. The record is from RNAcentral.
UGGGGAAUUUUGGACAAUGGGCGAAAGCCUGAUCCAGCAAUGCCGCGUGUGUGAAGAAGGCCUUCGGGUUGUAAAGCACUUUUGUCCGGAAAGAAAUCCUUGGCUCUAAUACAGUUGGGGGGAUGACGGUACCGGAAGAAUAAGCACCGGCUAACUACGUGCCAGCAGCCGCGGUAAUACGUAGGGUGCAAGCGUUAAUCGGAAUUACUGGGCGUAAAGCGUGCGCAGGCGGUUUGCUAAGACCGAUGUGAAAUCCCCGGGCUCAACCUGGGAACUGCAUUGGUGACUGGGCAGGCUAGAGUAUGGCAGAGGGGGGUAGAAUUCCACGUGUAGCAGUGAAAUGCGUAGAGAUGUGGAGGAAUACCGAUGGCGAAGGCAGCCCCCUGGGGCCAAAUACUGACGCUCAUGCACGAAAGCGUGGGGAGCAAACAGGAUUAGAUACCCUGGUAGUCCACGCCCUAAAACGAUGUCAACUAGUUGUUGGGGAUUCAUUUCCUAGUAACGUAGCUAACGCGUGAAGUUGACCGCCUGGGGAGUACGGUCGCAAGAUUAAAACUCAAAUGAAUUGACGGGG